RNAcentral lists this ribosomal RNA (120 nucleotides) under Aegilops tauschii subsp. strangulata. Lineage: Eukaryota; Viridiplantae; Streptophyta; Magnoliopsida; Poales; Poaceae. The record is from RNAcentral.
GGAAGCGAUCAUACCAGCACACUAAAGCACCGGAUCCCAUCAGAACUCCGAAGCUAAGCGUGCUUGGGCGAGAGUAGUACUAGGAUGGGUGACCUCACGGAAGUCCUCGUGUUGCAUUCC